CCUACGGGAGGCAGCAGUGGGGAAUAUUGCACAAUGGGGGAAACCCUGAUGCAGCGACGCCGCGUGAGUGAAGAAGUAUUUCGGUACGGAAAGCUCUAUCAGCAGGGGAGAAAAUGACGGUACCUGACUAAGACGCCCCGGCUAACUACGUGCCAGCAGCCGCGGUACUACGUAGGGGGCAAGCGUUAUCCGGAUUUACUGGGUGUAAAGGGUGCGUAGACGGCCGCGCAAGUCUGGAGUGAAAUGCCAUGGCUUAACCAUGGAACUGCUUUUGAAACUGUGCAGCUAGAGAGCAGGCGAGGUAAGCGGAAUGUCUGGUGUAGCGGUGAAAUGCGUAGAUAUUAUGAGGAACACCAAUGGCGAAGGCGGCUUACUGGGCUGUAACUGACGUUGAGGCUCGAAAGCGUGGGGAGCAAACGGGAUUAGAUACCCGUGUAGUC
Molecule: ribosomal RNA, 440 nt
Filed under: uncultured bacterium
Lineage: Bacteria
Description: partial 16S ribosomal RNA
Rfam family: Bacterial small subunit ribosomal RNA
Source: RNAcentral